UACGUAGGGUGCGAGCGUUAAUCGGAAUUACUGGGCGUAAAGCGUGCGCAGGCGGCGCGUUAAGACAGGUGUGAAAGCCCCUAGCUUAACUUGGGAAUUGCGCUUGUGACUGGCGUGCUGGAGUGUGGCAGAGGGAGGUGGAAUUCCACGUGUAGCAGUGAAAUGCGUAGAGAUGUGGAGGAACACCGAUGGCGAAGGCAGCCUCCUGGGCCAGCACUGACGCUCAUGCACGAAAGCGUGGGGAGCAAACAGG
Molecule: ribosomal RNA, 253 nt
Filed under: uncultured bacterium
Lineage: Bacteria
Description: partial 16S ribosomal RNA
Rfam family: Bacterial small subunit ribosomal RNA
Source: RNAcentral